CCUACGGGGCGCAGCAGUGAGGAAUAUUGGUCAAUGGACGCAAGUCUGAACCAGCCAUGCCGCGUGCAGGAAGACGGCUCUAUGAGUUGUAAACUGCUUUUGUACGAGGGUAAAUCCCGAUACGUGUAUCGGGUUGAAAGUAUCGUACGAAUAAGGAUCGGCUAACUCCGUGCCAGCAGCCGCGGUAAUACGGAGGAUUCAUGCGUUAUCCGGAUUUAUUGGGUUUAAAGGGUGCGUAGGCGGUUCGAUAAGUUAGAGGUGAAAGCCCGGGGCUCAACUCCGGCACUGCCUCUGAUACUGUCGGGCUAGAGUUUAGUUGCGGUAGGCGGAAUGUAUGGUGUAGCGGUGAAAUGCAUAGAGAUCAUACAGAACACCGAUUGCGAAGGCAGCUUACCAAACUACGACUGACGUUGAGGCACGAAAGCGUGGGGAGCAAACAGGAUUAGAUACCCUGGUAGUC
Molecule: ribosomal RNA, 460 nt
Filed under: uncultured bacterium
Lineage: Bacteria
Description: partial 16S ribosomal RNA
Rfam family: Bacterial small subunit ribosomal RNA
Source: RNAcentral